CCUCUCUCUUUUGUAUGGUUAUCACAUGCAAAACAAAAAGAAGAAGAUACAUGUCAAUUUUUUCUUUAUGUAAUUUUAAAUAGUUAUUGAUUUUUUUAUUUAUUAUUUUGGGCAUUAAAAUUUUAUGGUUCCUCCUCUCCAAAAAUAAAAUCAAAUUUAUGCCCCGUAGGACUGGUCCAUACUUGUCCUAUGUAAAAUAAUUUUGUCCUGGUCAUUGUACUAGCAUUUACUAGACAUUAAACAAUAAACAUAGUUGGAUUUUUGUUGGCGUUUUCAUAUGAUUAUUGUCACACGAAAAACACAGAAUAUUCAUUUAAGUUUUAUUUCAAGU
Molecule: long non-coding RNA, 331 nt
Filed under: Medicago truncatula (barrel medic)
Lineage: Eukaryota; Viridiplantae; Streptophyta; Magnoliopsida; Fabales; Fabaceae
Description: lncRNA gene32698
Source: RNAcentral